CUACGGGUGGCUCCAGUGGGGAAUAUUGCACAAUGGAGGAAACUCUGAUGCAGCAACGCCGCGUGGAGGAUGACACUUUUCGGAGCGUAAACUCCUUUUAUAUAGGAAGAAGAUGACGGUACUAUAUGAAUAAGCGCCGGCUAACUCCGUGCCAGCAGCCGCGGUAAUACGGAGGGCGCAAGCGUUACUCGGAAUCACUGGGCGUAAAGAGCGUGUAGGCGGAUUAAAAAGUCAGAAGUGAAAUCCUAUAGCUUAACUAUAGAACUGCUUCUGAAACUCUUAAUCUAGAAGAUGGGAGAGGUAGAUGGAAUUUCUGGUGUAGGGGUAAAAUCCGUAGAGAUCAGAAGGAAUACCGAUUGCGAAGGCGAUCUACUAGAACAUUAUUGACGCUGAGACGCGAAAGCAUGGGGAGCAAACAGGAUUAGAUACCCGUGUAGUC
This 439-nucleotide ribosomal RNA is filed under the name uncultured bacterium. RNAcentral's name for it is "partial 16S ribosomal RNA". It matches the Rfam family "Bacterial small subunit ribosomal RNA", at positions 339 to 795 of the family's 1533-position model. The record is from RNAcentral.